GAUGAACGCUGGCUGCGUGCCUAAUACGUGCUAGUCUAGCAAACUGACUAGAAGCUUGCUUCUCUGAUGUUAGCGGCGGACUGGUCAGUAACACGUCGCUAACCUACCUAUAAUACUGGGAUUACUUCACGAAACCUUUGCUAAUACCGGUUGAUAUUUUGAACCGCAUGGUUUUAAAGUUAAAGUCGCUCUUGCUGUCACUUAUAUAUAUAUCCGCGCUGCAUUAGCUAUUUGGUAAGUUAACGGCUUACCAAGUCAACGAUGCAUAACCGACCUGAGAGGGUGAUCGGCCACACUGGAACUGAGAGACGGUCCAGACUCAUACGGGAGGCAGGAGUAGGGAAUCGUCCGCAACGGGAGAAAGCAUGCAGGAGCAACGCCGCGUGAGUGAUGAAGGUCUUCGGAGCGUAAAACUCUGUGAUUAGGGAAGAACAUAUGUGUAAGCAAAUGUGCACACCUUGACGGUACCUAAUAAGAAAGGCAAGGCCACAUACGUG
This 497-nucleotide ribosomal RNA is filed under the name uncultured bacterium. RNAcentral describes it as "partial 16S ribosomal RNA". It matches the Rfam family "Bacterial small subunit ribosomal RNA", at positions 28 to 507 of the family's 1533-position model. The record is from RNAcentral.